GACGGAGGAUGCAAGCGUUAUCCGGAAUGAUUGGGCGUAAAGCGUCCGCAGGUGGCAGUUCAAGUCUGCUGUCAAAGACCGGGGCUUAACUUCGGAAAGGCAGUGGAAACUGAACAGCUAGAGUAUGGUAGGGGUAGAGGGAAUUCCCGGUGUAGCGGUGAAAUGCGUAGAGUAUCGGGAAGAACACCAGUGGCGAAGGCGACUCUACGUGGGCCACAACUGACGCUGGAGGGACGAAAGCUAGGGGAGGCGAAAGGG
RNAcentral lists this ribosomal RNA (258 nucleotides) under uncultured bacterium. RNAcentral describes it as "partial 16S ribosomal RNA". It matches the Rfam family "Bacterial small subunit ribosomal RNA", at positions 524 to 776 of the family's 1533-position model. The record is from RNAcentral.